The submitters of this non-coding RNA (78 nucleotides) gave its source as unclassified sequences. The record is from Rfam.
GGGGAUACACUUAGAGUCCCCUGCAUGAGGGUGUUAAUAGCGCUUGUCGAAAAGGCCAGACGGCGUGGUUAGUGAAUC